RNAcentral lists this long non-coding RNA (404 nucleotides) under Anser brachyrhynchus (Pink-footed goose). Its description in RNAcentral is "lncRNA (ENSABRG00000019907.1)". Lineage: Eukaryota; Metazoa; Chordata; Aves; Anseriformes; Anatidae. The record is from RNAcentral.
CAGGGAGCAGAAUUCAGAAUUUUUUCAUCACAAUAGAGUACUCUCAUCCUUACUGUCAGAGGUUCUGUAGGUACCAAAAUCACUGGCUUGCAGAAGUGAGGAAAGGCUCAGAUACAUAGGUUUUGAACUUCUGAGCCUCCUAAAAGGUUACAGCCAUCAUGCCUGUAAUUUCCUGUCCCAUCACUCAGUACAGUAGAAAUUUCUGACUCUGAAUUCAAUUUUCACAAGUAUCCUUCACUGCUGUCUUUUGUUAGUUCAAGAAAAUCCAUCACAGUCCAAGAAGGGUUUACACCAGAUGAACCUGUUUUCAGUCUGUGCUCUUAAACUGUUAAGGCUCAAACUAUUACUCAUUGUUUGAUUCUGAUCAGGAACAAACAUACACUACAGAUUUGCAGCCAUUAUAU